Molecule: long non-coding RNA, 398 nt
Organism: Esox lucius (northern pike)
Lineage: Eukaryota; Metazoa; Chordata; Actinopteri; Esociformes; Esocidae
Source: Ensembl
CAAAAACAACCUAACCCUUGCCGAGGUUAACGCGCUCUACAGAGCCCUGGCGGGAGAAUCCAUAUCCCAGUUUAGGCAUUACCACAUUCGACAAAGAAGUUUGGUAGAUGUUUGCCCACAGUUAGAUGAUGGGACCACAUGCCUAGCAUGUCCAAAGGCGGAUAUGAUAGUGACAUUGGAUGCCAACUUUGGCCUCAGGGACAAGUGUGGUUGAGCCAUUUCAUGGAACCCGCAUGUUUGUUGAUGAAAAGGACGUAGAGGAAUACCUUCUUUCAAAUCUUGACAGCUCAAAGCCUAACGAGGACUGCAGUAACUUCAAGGCUGGCAUCGUCUGAGGUCCCAACAACAAGCAAAGAAACUUGAUGUUACAGGAGUGUUUGGAGCGUCAUGAAAUGCCG